Molecule: ribosomal RNA, 245 nt
Filed under: uncultured Actinomycetales bacterium
Lineage: Bacteria; Bacillati; Actinomycetota; Actinomycetes; Actinomycetales
Description: partial 16S ribosomal RNA
Rfam family: Bacterial small subunit ribosomal RNA
Source: RNAcentral
UGCUCGAGUGGCGAACGGGUGAGUAACACGUGAGUAACCUGCCCUUGACUUUGGGAUAACUUCAGGAAACUGGGGCUAAUACCGGAUAGGAGCUCCUGCUGCAUGGUGGGGGUUUGAAAGUUUCGGCGGUUGGGGAUGGACUCGCGGCUUAUCAGCUUGUUGGUGGGGUAGUGGCUUACCAAGGCUUUGACGGGUAGCCGGCCUGAGAGGGUGACCGGCCACAUUGGGACUGAGAUACGGCCCAG